Molecule: ribosomal RNA, 581 nt
Filed under: uncultured bacterium
Lineage: Bacteria
Description: bacterial SSU rRNA
Rfam family: Bacterial small subunit ribosomal RNA
Source: RNAcentral
ACGGGUGAGUAAUAUAUCGGAACGUGCCCUAGAGUGGGGGAUAACUAGUCGAAAGACUAGCUAAUACCGCAUACGAUCUAAGGAUGAAAGUGGGGGAUCGCAAGACCUCAUGCUCCUGGAGCGGCCGAUAUCUGAUUAGCUAGUUGGUGGGGUAAAAGCCUACCAAGGCGACGAUCAGUAGCUGGUCUGAGAGGACGACCAGCCACACUGGGACUGAGACACGGCCCAGACUCCUACGGGAGGCAGCAGUGGGGAAUUUUGGACAAUGGGGGCAACCCUGAUCCAGCAAUGCCGCGUGAGUGAAGAAGGCCUUCGGGUUGUAAAGCUCUUUUGUCAGGGAAGAAACGGUUUUAGCUAAUAUCCAGAACUAAUGACGGUACCUGAAGAAUAAGCACCGGCUAACUACGUGCCAGCAGCCGCGGUAAUACGUAGGGUGCAAGCGUUAAUCGGAAUUACUGGGCGUAAAGCGUGCGCAGGCGGUUGUGUAAGACAGAUGUGAAAUCCCCGGGCUCAACCUGGGAAUUGCAUUUGUGACUGCACGGCUAGAGUGUGUCAGAGGGGGGUAGAAUUCCACGUGUAGC